ACCCCCCCCCUAAUUUGUACCCCGUAGGACCCCGAGGGCAAACCCAAGAAGGCGUCGAUCCGCGACAACGGGGACGGGACGUACACCGUGUCCUACGUGCCCGACACCACCGGCCGCUACACCAUCCUCAUCAAGUACGGCGGCGACGAGAUCCCCUACUCCCCGUACCGCAUCCGCGCCGUCCCCGCCGGCGACGCCAGCAAGUGCACCGUCACCGUCUCCAUCGGAGGUCACGGCUUAGGCCCGGGGCUGGGCCCCACCAUCCAGCUGGGGGAGCAGACGCUGCUGACGGUGGACGCCAAGGCCGCGGGGCCGGGCAAGGUGACGUGUGCCGUGCGGGCGCCCGACGGCGCCGAGGCCGACGUGGACGUGGUGGAAAACGCCGACGGGACCUUCGACAUCUUUUACACCGCCCCCCAGCCAGGGAAGUACAUCAUCUGCGUGCGCUUCGGGGGGGAGCACGUCCCCAACAGCCCCUUCCAGGUCA
Non-coding RNA from Phasianus colchicus (ring-necked pheasant), 487 nucleotides. NCBI's taxonomy places the organism in Eukaryota, Metazoa, Chordata, Aves, Galliformes, Phasianidae. The record is from RefSeq and is a predicted model, not a curated record.